Molecule: ribosomal RNA, 228 nt
Filed under: Triticum aestivum (bread wheat)
Lineage: Eukaryota; Viridiplantae; Streptophyta; Magnoliopsida; Poales; Poaceae
Description: partial small subunit ribosomal RNA
Source: RNAcentral
GAUAGCACCGAAUUUUGCCAAUUCGGCAGUUCGAUCUAUGAUUUCACAUUCAUGGACAUUGAUAAGAUCCUUCCAUUUAGUAGCACCUUAGGAUGGCAUAGCCUUAACGUUAAUGGCUAAGUUCAAAAGAGGAAAGGCUUGCAGUGGAUACCUAGGCACCCAUAGACGAGGAAGGGCGUAGCAAGCGACGAAAUGCUUCGGGGAGUUGAUUCUUCGAAUUCCUUAUGA